AAAAAAACAGUGCUGGGAAAACUGGGGAUCUAUAUGCAGAAUAGUGAAACUAGACCCCCACCUCUCACUCUAUACAAAAAUCAAGGCAAAAUGGAUGUAAUACUAAAAUAUAAGACCUAAAACUAUGAAACUACUAGAAGAAAACAUGGGUAAACACUUCAAGACAUUGGUCUGGGCAAAGACUUUUUGAGGGUAAGUCCUCAAAAACACAGGUGACAAAAGCAAAAAUUGAUAAAUGGAAUUACAUCAAGCUAAAAAGCUUCUGCACAGCAAAGGAAGCAAUCAACAAAGAAACAACCCACAGAAUGGGAGAAAAUACUUGCAAACUACCCAUCUGGCCAGGCGCGAGCCACCACGGCCGGCUGAAUAAACAUUUGUCAAAAGAAGACAUACUAGUGGCCAACAUGUAAAUGAAAAAUGUUCUGGAUAAACAGAAACUGAUUAUAAAACAAAAAACAAAAAAAAAAAAAGAAAAAAGAAAAUGCCUGACAUCACUCAUCAUCGGUAAAAUGCAAUCAAAACCACGAGAUAUCACCUCACCCCCAUUAGAAUGGCUAUAAUCAAAAGAACAGAAAAUAAAGAGAUGCUGGCCAGGAUGUGGAGAAAGUGGAAUGCUCCUACACUGUUGGAGAAAUGUAAAUUAGUACAGCCACCACAUAAAACAGUAUGGAGAUUCCUCAAAAAACUAAAAAUAGAACUACCAUAUGAUACAGCAAUUCCACUGCUGGGUGUAUAUCCAAAGGAAAGGAGAUUGGUGUAUCAGAGAGACAGCUGCACUCCCAUGUUUAUUGCAGCAAUUCACAAUGACCACAUAUGGAAUCAACCUAAGUGUUCUUCAACGGAUGAAUGGAUAAAGAAAGUGUGGUAUAUACACUAUGAAAUAUUAUUCAGCCAUAAUAAAAUGAAAUCCUAUCAUCUGCAGCAACACGGAUGAAACUGAAGGACAC
This 947-nucleotide long non-coding RNA is filed under the name Homo sapiens (human). RNAcentral's name for it is "HSALNT0111528". Lineage: Eukaryota; Metazoa; Chordata; Mammalia; Primates; Hominidae. The record is from RNAcentral.